Molecule: transfer RNA, 77 nt
Filed under: Desulfovibrio sp.
Lineage: Bacteria; Pseudomonadati; Thermodesulfobacteriota; Desulfovibrionia; Desulfovibrionales; Desulfovibrionaceae
Also listed under: 2 other names
Description: tRNA-Pro
Rfam family: tRNA
About the family: Transfer RNA (tRNA) molecules are approximately 80 nucleotides in length. Their secondary structure includes four short double-helical elements and three loops (D, anti-codon, and T loops).
Source: RNAcentral
CGGGACGUAGCGCAGUCUGGCAGCGCGUCUGCUUCGGGAGCAGAAGGUCGCUGGUUCAAAUCCAGUCGUCCCGACCA